Molecule: transfer RNA, 75 nt
Filed under: Andreesenella formicacetica
Lineage: Bacteria; Bacillati; Bacillota; Clostridia; Peptostreptococcales; Natronincolaceae
Also listed under: 23 other names
Description: Clostridium formicaceticum tRNA-Gly
Rfam family: tRNA
About the family: Transfer RNA (tRNA) molecules are approximately 80 nucleotides in length. Their secondary structure includes four short double-helical elements and three loops (D, anti-codon, and T loops).
Source: RNAcentral
GCGGAAGUGGCUCAGUGGUAGAGCAUCGCCUUGCCAAGGCGAGGGUCGCGGGUUCGAGUCCCGUCUUCCGCUCCA